RNAcentral lists this ribosomal RNA (460 nucleotides) under uncultured bacterium. RNAcentral describes it as "partial 16S ribosomal RNA". It matches the Rfam family "Bacterial small subunit ribosomal RNA", at positions 338 to 795 of the family's 1533-position model. The record is from RNAcentral.
CCUACGGGUGGCAGCAGUGAGGAAUAUUGGUCAAUGGACGAGAGUCUGAACCAGCCAAGUAGCGUGAAGGAUGACUGCCCUAUGGGUUGUAAACUUCUUUUAUAUGGGAAUAAAAUGUUCCACGUGUGGGAUUUUGUAUGUACCAUAUGAAUAAGGAUCGGCUAACUCCGUGCCAGCAGCCGCGGUAAUACGGAGGAUCCGAGCGUUAUCCGGAUUUAUUGGGUUUAAAGGGAGCGUAGGUGGAUUGUUAAGUCAGUUGUGAAAGUUUGCGGCGCAACCGUAAAAUUGCAGUUGAAACUGGCAGUCUUGAGUACAGUAGAGGUGGGCGGAAUGCGUGGUGUAGCGGUGAAAUGCUUAGAUAUCACGAAGAACUCCGAUUGCGAAGGCAGUUCACUGGACUGCAACUGACACUGAGGCUCGAAAGUGUGGGUAUCAAACAGGAUUAGAUACCCCUGUAGUC